Molecule: ribosomal RNA, 859 nt
Filed under: Melanopsamma pomiformis
Lineage: Eukaryota; Fungi; Ascomycota; Sordariomycetes; Hypocreales; Stachybotryaceae
Description: LSU rRNA
Rfam family: Eukaryotic large subunit ribosomal RNA
Source: RNAcentral
UUGCCUCAGUAACCGGCGAGUGAAGCGGCAACAGCUCAAAUUUGAAAUCUGGCCCCUAGGCCCGAGUUGUAAUUUGCAGAGGAUGCUUUUGGCGAGGUGCCUUCCGAGUUCCCUGGAACGGGACGCCAUAGAGGGUGAGAGCCCCGUCUGGUCGGACACCAAGCCUCUGUAAAGCUCCUUCGACGAGUCGAGUAGUUUGGGAAUGCUGCUCUAAAUGGGAGGUAUAUGUCUUCUAAAGCUAAAUACCGGCCAGAGACCGAUAGCGCACAAGUAGAGUGAUCGAAAGAUGAAAAGCACUUUGGAAAGAGAGUUAAACAGCACGUGAAAUUGUUGAAAGGGAAGCGUUCACGACCAGACUUGGGCCGGUUGAUCAUCCAGCGUUCUCGCUGGUGCACUCUGCCGGCCCAGGCCAGCAUCAGUUCGCCCCGGGGGACAAAGACGGCGGGAAUGUAGCUCCUCCGGGAGUGUUAUAGCCCAUCGUGCAAUACCCUGUGGUGGACUGAGGUUCGCGCUCUGCAAGGAUGCUGGCGUAAUGGUCGUCAACGACCCGUCUUGAAACACGGACCAAGGAGUCGUCUUCGUAUGCGAGUGUUCGGGUGUCAAACCCCUACGCGUAAUGAAAGUGAACGCAGGUGAGAGCUUCGGCGCAUCAUCGACCGAUCCUGAUGUUCUCGGAUGGAUUUGAGUAAGAGCAUACGGGGCCGGACCCGAAAGAAGGUGAACUAUGCCUGUAUAGGGUGAAGCCAGAGGAAACUCUGGUGGAGGCUCGCAGCGGUUCUGACGUGCAAAUCGAUCGUCAAAUAUGGGCAUGGGGGGCGAAAGACUAAUCGAACCUUCUAGUAGCUGGUUUCCGCCGAAG